RNAcentral lists this unclassified non-coding RNA (343 nucleotides) under soil metagenome. RNAcentral describes it as "partial contains 5.8S ribosomal RNA, internal transcribed spacer 2, and large subunit ribosomal RNA". The stretch from base 1 to 120 matches the Rfam family "5.8S ribosomal RNA", at positions 35 to 154 of the family's 154-position model. The record is from RNAcentral.
GAUGAAGAACGUAGCGAAAUGCGAUAAGUAAUGUGAAUUGCAGAAUCCAGUGAAUCAUCGAAUCUUUGAACGCACAUUGCGCCCGCCAGCAUUCUGGCGGGCAUGCCUGUUCGAGCGUCAUUUCAACCCUCGACCUCCCUUUGGGGAAGUCGGCAUUGGGGACCGGCAGCACACCGCCGGCCCUGAAAUGGAGUGGCGGCCCGUCCGCGGCGACCUCUGCGUAGUAAACCAACUCGCACCGGAACCCCGACGUGGCCACGCCGUAAAACACCCAACUUCUGAACGUUGACCUCGAAUCAGGUAGGACUACCCGCUGAACUUAAGCAUAUCAAUAAGCGGAGGA